GGUCAAUGGGCGGAAGCCUGAACCAGCCAUCCCGCGUGAAGGAAGAAGGCCUUAUGGGUUGUAAACUUCUUUUCUUUGUGAAGAAUAAGCUGUUCGAGACAAGUGAUGCCGGUAGGACAGGAAUAAGCAUCGGCUAAAUCCGUGCCAGCAGCCGCGGUAAUACGGAGGAUGCAAGCGUUAUCCGGAUUUAUUGGGUUUAAAGGGUGCGCAGGUGGUUUAAUAAGUCAGUGGUGAAAAUCUGCCGCUUAACGGUAGGAUUGCCAUUGAUACUGUUGGACUUGAAUAUGGAUGAGGUAGGCGGAAUGUGUAGUGUAGCGGUGAAAUGCUUAGAUAUUACACAGAACACCGAUUGCGAAGGCAGCUUACUAAUCCAUGAUUGACGCUGAGGCACGAAAGCGUGGGGAUCAAACAGGAUUAGAUACCCUGGUAGUCCACGCUGUAAACGAUGAUCACU
This 454-nucleotide ribosomal RNA is filed under the name uncultured bacterium. RNAcentral's name for it is "bacterial SSU rRNA". It matches the Rfam family "Bacterial small subunit ribosomal RNA", at positions 366 to 817 of the family's 1533-position model. The record is from RNAcentral.